GAAAUGCGAUAAGUAGUGUGAAUUGCAGAAUUCAGUGAAUCAUCGAAUCUUUGAACGCACAUUGCGCCCCUUGGUAUUCCAUGGGGCAUGCCUGUUCGAGCGUCAUUUGUACUCUCAAGCCUUGCUUGGUGUUGGGUGUUUGUCUUUGCUAUGCCUAGACUCGCCUUAAAUUCAUUGGCAGCCUGUAUAUUGGUUUGAAGCGCAGCACAAUUUGCGCUUCCGGCUCGUAAUUAUUGGCACCCAUAAGAUUUUUUAUCACUUUUGACCUCGGAUCAGGUAGGGAUACCCGCUGAACUUAA
This 299-nucleotide unclassified non-coding RNA is filed under the name uncultured fungus. RNAcentral describes it as "sequence contains ITS1". The stretch from base 1 to 105 matches the Rfam family "5.8S ribosomal RNA", at positions 50 to 154 of the family's 154-position model. The record is from RNAcentral. Lineage: Eukaryota; Fungi.